GAUGAACGCUGGCGGCGUGCCUAAUACAUGCAAGUCGAGCGAACAGACGAGGAGCUUGCUCCUCUGACGUUAGCGGCGGACGGGUGAGUAACACGUGGAUAACCUACCUAUAAGACUGGGAUAACUUCGGGAAACCGGCGCUAAUACCGUAUAAUAUAUUGAACCGCAUGGUUCAAUAGUGAAAGACGGUUUUGCUGUCACUUAUAGAUGGAUCCGCGCCGGAUUAGCUAGUUGGUAAGGUAACGGCUUACCAAGGCAACGAUGCGUAGCCGACCUGAGAGGGGGGUAGGCGACAUUGGAACUGAAACACGGUCCAGACUACUACGGGAGGCAGCAGUAGGGAAUCUUACGCAAUGGGCGAAAGCCUGACGGAGCAACGCCGCGUGAGUGAUGAAGGUCUUCGGAUCGUAAAACUCUGUUAUUAGGGAAGAACAAAUGUGUAAGUAACUAUGCACGUCUUGACGGUACCUAAUCAGAAAGCCACGGCUAACUACGUG
RNAcentral lists this ribosomal RNA (497 nucleotides) under uncultured bacterium. RNAcentral's name for it is "partial 16S ribosomal RNA". It matches the Rfam family "Bacterial small subunit ribosomal RNA", at positions 28 to 507 of the family's 1533-position model. The record is from RNAcentral.